RNAcentral lists this long non-coding RNA (1973 nucleotides) under Homo sapiens (human). RNAcentral's name for it is "HSALNT0329302". The record is from RNAcentral. Lineage: Eukaryota; Metazoa; Chordata; Mammalia; Primates; Hominidae.
CUUCUAACAAAAAAAAAAGUGUAACUCUAAGUUAUAAGAACUGCAACCAAAAGCAAAAGGCUGACAAUAACUGGCUCACUUUAAGAGAAUGGUUUUGAGUCUUCUUCAUUAAUAUACUUUGGAGACCCACAGUUAUAACUUUAAUGCCCAAAUUUCAAUAGUAUCCAAAAUAAUCUCUGAGCUAGCCUUAGGAUGUUUCUUAGCUAAGCGUUAUUAGUUUGGCUGGCUCACUCUUGGACAGAAAAAAAACAUAUUUAUGGUACUCCAAAUGUAGAAAAACCCAUGGCUUUUAUUUAAUACAUUUACAGUUUCUUGAGAUUACAAAACAUUUCACAGUUUCUAUCUGUAUGUAUAUUUAAAUUUCCUCUAAAUAUCUGAAAUCACACCAUCAGAAUCUAAGUUAGAUGAGAGCAGGAACCCUGACUAUUUCACUCACGUGUGUAGAGCCAAUGUCCCGUCUCCAGAGUAAAGAUUGGAUGGAAUGCAGAAUAUUGAAAUGGAAGGCAGAAUAUUGAAAUGGAAUGCAGAAUAUUGAAAUGGAAUGUAGAAUAUUGAAUGAAUCAAUCAAAGACUUUAACACUUCCAGCUACAGGCAGCUCAUUAUGGCUCAAAGCAGCCAGGCCUCAGAGUUCUUUUUUACAAUGAUUGGACUGUCAUCUCUUCCCACUUGUUUGUUCCAGUUUUAGCUCGUCAGGUCAUGUAGAUUUACUCUACCAUAUAACAAACCUUUAAAUACCUGAACUGAUACUCAUGCCCUACUUUCUCCACCUGACCUCUGAGGUUGACUUAUUUGGAGGUUCAAGAUAAUUGACCACUAAGUCUGGUUCUGGAGAAGUUGGGUUUCCACAUGCCUUACAGUACAAGUGUGGCAAUUCAGGAGGUGAUCUAGAAGCAAGGUGUCCUUGCUCACGGAAGAAUGACAGCGGGAGAGAAGAUCGAAAUCACUGCCCAGGUUAAUAAAGCAAUAUGUGAGAUGACAGUCCAAGUUAGAAACCAGCCAAAGGUAUUUCAAGUAACACUUUUAUAGUGCUUAUAUGUGGUAGGUAGUUUUCUAAGCACUUCACAGAUGAGGUGAUUCAUUUAAUCCUUACAAUAACCCUAUGAGGGGUAAGCUUUCACCCCUCCUUUAACAGGAGAGCAAACUAAAGUGCAACAUGAUAAGUUAUGUAGACGACAUUAGAGCUCAGGCAGUCUGGCUAAGAAGUUGGGGCUCUUAACUACUAUCCUAUGCUACUUCUCCAUGCAAAUAAGAAUUAUUGUUAGUAAAGUCACUUUGUGGUUUUUUGUAUUUUUAGAUUUUUAUCGAUUUAGGAGGUACCAGUCAGGUUUCUUACAUGCAUAUAUUGCCAAGUGGAGAUGUCUGGGCUUCUGGUAUGCCCAUCAGCCUAAUAGUAAAUAUUGUACCUAAUAGAUAAUUUUUCAAUUCUCACCCCCACCCCACCCUCUUUGGUAACUUUGGGAUUUUUGGAAGCUUUAGUUCUUCAAAACCCCCCAAAUGUGGUAUAUAAUAAUGUAGAUAACUAAAAGAUUCAAUAGGUUUUUUUUCUCUUAAGAAGGAAAAUAAAGAUACAUUUAUCCAUAAUUUACUCUAAAAUAAAAUUCUACAUUACAAAUAUGUUGUAUAAUCUAGUGUGCUGAAUUACAUGGCUUAUACAACGUGAUCGUCUUAUAUUAAGAUGAAUAUUCCCAAAAAUGUGAUGAUUGUGUAGGGAAUAAAUUUCAUAUUCAUAUUUUCCAGGAAUCAAUGAUUGAUUCCACAAUGGAAUAAACCUUUCAUAGCAUAAUGAUAGCUUCUUGUAUAGGUUUGUUAAACUACAUGUUAGUAAAUAACAUCUCACUUACUGGCAUAAAAUCUUCAUUAUAAUAUUUAGAAAAUUUGUCUUGGUUGAAAACAGCAUCUUUAUUUAAUUAAUUAAUUUGUUUGUUUAUUUUUUGAGAUAAGAUCUCACUUUGUCACCCAGGCUGGAGUGCAG